Molecule: unclassified non-coding RNA, 850 nt
Filed under: Dermacentor andersoni
Lineage: Eukaryota; Metazoa; Arthropoda; Arachnida; Ixodida; Ixodidae
Description: mitotic-spindle organizing protein 1-like
Source: RNAcentral
AACUUAGCUGCUGGCCAUAUGCCGACUGCUGCCGACUUGGAAACGCGUAAGAUGGCGGCGCCCAAUGUUGAUGAUCGACGGAAGGCUCUCAAGGAAACUUUCGAUGUGCUGUUGGAAAUGUCCCAACUGCUCAACACAGGCCUGGACGCACAGUCGCUGGCGCUGUGUGUCCGACUGUGCGAGAGUGGCGCAAACCCCGAAGCUCUGGCCGGCCUCAUCAAGGAGCUACGCGCCCGAACGGCGCCCAACGUCACCACUUGGAGCCUGCGCCCUGAACAUGCCGAGCGGUGACUGAGCAGGUCUUCUCCUUAAGAACGCUGCUGGCCUCCAAGGUGAGUUCUUUUGGCAAAAUGAUUACUCCAGGAGUGGCUGUGGUUACCCCUGCUCGCUACUCUGCAAAUCAAUGAGAACGGCUUUGCGUAGCUGCUUCAAAACUCUGUGGCACCUGUGCGCUUCGGUCACUGAGUCUUUUCGUCAAAGGCAGAAGCACCACACUUCUGGGCCGCCAUGUGUCCGCAAGUGAACCACGAGGAAGCGGCCAGCGGCAUACAAGUUGUUUCUGAAAUGCACUUAAGGCUUUCUCGUGUGCUGUCCAUUCAACAUAGCAUUACGGGAUCAGUGUUACUUUUACUGGGGGUGUCCAGACCUCCCUUCAACUCCAGGUAGCAAAAAUUAAGUCAACAUUGUUACCGAACAGUGGCAUCAUAUGCUGGAAUAUAUGCAACCUGUUUAUUUACCUUCUUAAUUUAUUGUCUGACACAUCUUAGGAUAGUUUGCUUUAAUUUUGGAAACCUUGAACAAUUCACUCACAGCAAUAAAAGAUUGCAAUGCAGUGUCAAGGUAUUGAAAA